GACGAACGCUGGCGGCGUGCUUAACACAUGCAAGUCGAGCGGUAAGGCUCCUUCGGGAGUACACGAGCGGCGAACGGGUGAGUAACACGUGAGCAAUCUGCCCUUCUCAUCGGAAUAACCAUUGGAAACGAUGGCUAAUGCCGAAUACGACUUCCUUUCGCAUGUCAGGAAGUGGAAAGCUCCGGCGGAGAAGGAUGAGCUCGCGGCCUAUCAGCUUGUUGGCGGGGUAACGGCCCACCAAGGCAACGACGGGUAGCCGGCCUGAGAGGGUGACCGGCCGCACUGGGACUGAGACACGGCCCAGACUCCUACGGGAGGCAGCAGGGGGGAAUAUUGGACAAUGGGCGAAAGCCUGAUCCAGCAACGCCGCGUGAGGGAUGACGGCCUUCGGGUUGUAAACCUCUUUCAGCAGGGACGAAGCGAAAGUGACGGUACCUGCAGAAGAAGGACCGGCCAACUACGUGCCAGCCGCCGCGGUAA
Molecule: ribosomal RNA, 480 nt
Filed under: uncultured bacterium
Lineage: Bacteria
Description: partial 16S ribosomal RNA
Rfam family: Bacterial small subunit ribosomal RNA
Source: RNAcentral